Molecule: long non-coding RNA, 2387 nt
Organism: Scylla paramamosain (green mud crab)
Lineage: Eukaryota; Metazoa; Arthropoda; Malacostraca; Decapoda; Portunidae
Exons: 2
Source: RefSeq, a predicted model, not a curated record
UUUUCUUUUACUUUAUUUCUUUAUUUAUCAUCUACAUUCACUUUUAUUUUUUAUAUUUUAUUAUUAUGUAUAUACACAUUUUUUUUUUUUUUUUUAAUGUUUUGUGCUGAAAUAAGAGCUAGUUUCUGAAAGUUGAAUGAAGAUGGCAACACUGGCUGGUCCAAGACACCGCAGGAUGACAACAAACGUUCCGUGACGGCUGGUGAGUAUAGUUGUGACAGCUGCAGAAUCUGCCCCUCCCACGCCACACAUUGCACGGGGAACACUAACAGACAGUUACUGACAGAGUGAAAGGUGCAUAAAGUGCAGGCGAUACCAAAAAGUGUAGUUCAAUGUUUUGGUCCUGAAGAUUCUACCGUAUUAUUCAAUGAGAAGAGGGGUGUAAACGUGUGCGUGGACUGCCGCAGGUAAGGGUAUCUCAAGGUAAAGUUGAUUAAGACAAGUUUAGGUGUAGUUGUAGGCUUUGGGUUUUAAGGAAACACAGACGAGGAGGAUGCAAAUCAGGCCAGUAACUUUUGGGUCACAACUGUGAUAUCAUCAAUGAGUGCCUACGGAAGCCCUGCCUGCACGGAGGGCCUGCCAUAACCUUCAGCCAGGGUUCCGGUGCAUCUGCGAGCCAGGAGACUCAGGGGAGUUCUGUCAGUGGACGGAGCUGCCUGCUGUUGGCUCAGGGCUCGCUGCUCCGCUGAUCAUUAAUGCUAUUUCACUUUCUGUGCUUUUCCUUGUGGUGCUGGUCCUGCUGGUUUCACUGCGGCUCCGACGCCAUCGCCAGAUGUGAGCUUCUGUCCAACAAGGAUGGGAGACUUUUGGAUGUCCAGCAGCAUACAUGCUUUCAGAGACACCUGUGGCAAGUGCAAAACAGAGAGGGAUGAGGGUGCAGGAUGCUAUAAUGUUCACAGCAUAAUUAGUUCAAGAUUUCUUUUUUGUGAAAGGUGUAGGUAGUGCACAUGGUUUCAACCACAGGAUUGCAUGUUUUCAUAUUCACAGAUUUCACGACUUGACAUUGUGGUCAUUCCAGUGUGCAUCAAGUCAUUUGAUUUUAUGUACCACAUGGUUAUUUAGCUAGCUAGGAGUAACAUCUUAUAAAAUUUUACUAUUUAUAAGAUAAAAUUUUACUAUUUAUAAGAGAUCUUGCAUUAUGAAGAUUUGUUUAAAGUUCCUAGCUUGGCCUUUGUUUAUCACCAUCAUCUAGUUCAGUCAGUCUUUCUCAGCCUGCUAAAUUCAUGCAAUUUGUCAGUCAUUUACUUUGGUGAUGGUGUCAGUUCAAAGCCUGCAUAUCAGUCCUUUACUACUUGAGCCACCUCUCCCAGCACACUCACACAUCCAUCUCACUGUGUUCCCUUCAGUCUGUUCCAAGUCUUUCAUUUUGUGCUUAAUGGUUCAAAUUGCACAAACAUGAUGCAGUGCAUUUCCUGCUGAUGGAAGUUCACAGUCAUAACUGCAAGGUCUCUGUGCAGUUCUUGUAGCCAAAUGUGGUAGUUAUUCCUUUAUGUAAAUGUCUCAUUUAGGGAAGAAAUGUUGUGUAAUUGGUUUCAUAUACAUUUCUGAGACAUUUAGGCUGAGAAUAUUUAGAUUAUAUAGUCAGCUUCUCAACUUUAUAGAACUUUGAUUGCUUUGAUUGCUGUUACUAAGUUUUAUAUUAGACUCCUGAAUGAAGGUAAAGAAAAUUAGAAAAUUGUACUAAGUUGAAAAUUUACCCAAGACUUUUUUGUAAUUGAAAAUUGUCCCAAAAUGCUUAAAGUUGUUCUAAGUUGAAAAUUGAUGAAGACUUUCAUAGUGAAAAUUAUUAGAAAAUGAGAUUGGAAAGAGUAAUGAAAAUUGUGUAAUGAAAAUUGUGUAAUUGAAAAUUGUGUAAUUGAAAAUUGUGUAAUUGAAAAUUGUCUAAUUAAAGUAAUUAAGUGUAUGGAGACUUAUUUUAGGAGACUUAUUUUAGCUGGAACAUACAUCUGCCUCGUCUCCGGAGACUCUUCAGAGUAUUUUCGACUUAGCACAGUUAGUUUUUUGGCAUGUUUUGCAGGGGUUUUGCACAGUUUUUUGGCAUGUUUUGCAGGGUUUUUUCCCUAUUUUCUAGCAGUUUUUUUGUAGGGUUUUUUCCAAAUUUUCUGGCCUGUAGGAAUUUUUCCCAAUUUUCUGGCCCUUUUUGCAGGGAUAUCUACCUAGCAGUUUCCAGGGAAUCUUGAAUUUUUGGCUCAUUUUGGCGGGAUUUGGCUCAUUUUGGUGGGAUUUGGGUCAAUUUUGGCGGGAUUCAGUUUCGUCAAACUUUUGGGCAUUUUUCUGCUAAAAAAAUUGGGUAAAAUUUUUUUUAGGUUUCCUAGUAGGCAGAGUUGGUGGCCAUUUAUUUUUUUUAAAUAUAAUUAUGGUAGCUAAUAAAUUGCCAUUUCCGAAUG